Molecule: ribosomal RNA, 465 nt
Filed under: Vreelandella stevensii
Lineage: Bacteria; Pseudomonadati; Pseudomonadota; Gammaproteobacteria; Oceanospirillales; Halomonadaceae
Description: partial 16S ribosomal RNA
Rfam family: Bacterial small subunit ribosomal RNA
Source: RNAcentral
CCUACGGGUGGCUGCAGUGGGGAAUAUUGGACAAUGGGCGAAAGCCUGAUCCAGCCAUGCCGCGUGUGUGAAGAAGGCCUUCGGGUUGUAAAGCACUUUCAGUGGGGAAGAAAGCCUUGGGGCUAAUACCCUCGAGGAAGGACAUCACCCACAGAAGAAGCACCGGCUAACUCCGUGCCAGCAGCCGCGGUAAUACGGAGGGUGCGAGCGUUAAUCGGAAUUACUGGGCGUAAAGCGCGCGUAGGCGGUCUGAUAAGCCGGUUGUGAAAGCCCCGGGCUCAACCUGGGAACGGCAUCCGGAACUGGCAGGCUAGAGUGCAGUAGAGGAAGGUAGAAUUCCCGGUGUAGCGGUGAAAUGCGUAGAGAUCGGGAGGAAUACCAGUGGCGAAGGCGGCCUUCUGGACUGACACUGACGCUGAGGUGCGAAAGCGUGGGUAGCAAACAGGAUUAGAUACCCGUGUAGUC